This 253-nucleotide ribosomal RNA is filed under the name uncultured bacterium. RNAcentral describes it as "partial 16S ribosomal RNA". It matches the Rfam family "Bacterial small subunit ribosomal RNA", at positions 524 to 776 of the family's 1533-position model. The record is from RNAcentral.
UACGAAGGGGGCUAGCGUUGCUCGGAAUCACUGGGCGUAAAGCGCACGUAGGCGGCUUUCUAAGUCAGGGGUGAAAUCCUGGAGCUCAACUCCAGAACUGCCUUUGAUACUGGGAAGCUUGAGUCCGGAAGAGGUGAGUGGAACUGCGAGUGUAGAGGUGAAAUUCGUAGAUAUUCGCAAGAACACCAGUGGCGAAGGCGGCUCACUGGUCCGGUACUGACGCUGAGGUGCGAAAGCCAGGGGAGCAAACGGG